GGUGAGUAAUGUCUGGGAAACUGCCUGAUGGAGGGGGAUAACUACUGGAAACGGUAGCUAAUACCGCAUAACGUCGCAAGACCAAAGAGGGGGACCUUCGGGCCUCUUGCCAUCAGAUGUGCCCAGAUGGGAUUAGCUAGUAGGUGGGGUAACGGCUCACCUAGGCGACGAUCCCUAGCUGGUCUGAGAGGAUGACCAGCCACACUGGAACUGAGACACGGUCCAGACUCCUACGGGAGGCAGCAGUGGGGAAUAUUGCACAAUGGGCGCAAGCCUGAUGCAGCCAUGCCGCGUGUAUGAAGAAGGCCUUCGGGUUGUAAAGUACUUUCAGCGGGGAGGAAGGCGGUGAGGUUAAUAACCUCAUCAAUUGACGUUACCCGCAGAAGAAGCACCGGCUAACUCCGUGCCAGCAGCCGCGGUAAUACGGAGGGUGCAAGCGUUAAUCGGAAUUACUGGGCGUAAAGCGCACGCAGGCGGUCUGUCAAGUCGGAUGUGAAAUCCCCGGGCUCAACCUGGGAACUGCAUUCGAAACUGGCAGGCUAGAGUCUUGUAGAGGGGGGUAGAAUUCCAGGUGUAGCGGUGAAAUGCGUAGAGAUCUGGAGGAAUACCGG
This 611-nucleotide ribosomal RNA is filed under the name Enterobacter sp. LRE17. RNAcentral describes it as "bacterial SSU rRNA". It matches the Rfam family "Bacterial small subunit ribosomal RNA", at positions 105 to 712 of the family's 1533-position model. Lineage: Bacteria; Pseudomonadati; Pseudomonadota; Gammaproteobacteria; Enterobacterales; Enterobacteriaceae. The record is from RNAcentral.